This 131-nucleotide ribosomal RNA is filed under the name uncultured Synechococcus sp. Its description in RNAcentral is "partial 16S ribosomal RNA". It matches the Rfam family "Bacterial small subunit ribosomal RNA", at positions 355 to 501 of the family's 1533-position model. The record is from RNAcentral. Lineage: Bacteria; Bacillati; Cyanobacteriota; Cyanophyceae; Synechococcales; Synechococcaceae.
UGGGGAAUUUUCCGCAAUGGGCGAAAGCCUGACGGAGCAACGCCGCGUGAGGGAUGAAGGGCUCUGGGCUGUAAACCUCUUUUAUCAAGGAAGAAGAUCUGACGGUACUUGAUGAAUAAGCCACGGCUAAU